GUGGGGAAUAUUGGACAAUGGGCGCAAGCCUGAUCCAGCCAUACCGCGUGGGUGAAGAAGGCCUUCGGGUUGUAUAGCCCUUUUGUUGGGAAAGAAAUCCUGUCGGUUAAUACCUGGCGGGGAUGACGGUACCCAAAGAAUAAGCACCGGCUAACUUCGUGCCAGCAGCCGCGGUAAUACGAAGGGUGCAAGCGUUACUCGGAAUUACUGGGCGUAAAGCGUGCGUAGGUGGUGGUUUAAGUCCGUUGUGAAAGCCCUGGGCUCAACCUGGGAAUUGCAGUGGAUACUGGAUCACUAGAGUGUGGUAGAGGGAUGCGGAAUUUCUGGUGUAGCAGUGAAAUGCGUAGAGAUCAGAAGGAACAUCCGUGGCGAAGGCGACAUCCUGGGCCAACACUGACACUGAGGCACGAAAGCGUGGGGAGCAAACAGGAUUAGAUACCCGGGUAGUCC
Molecule: ribosomal RNA, 450 nt
Filed under: uncultured bacterium
Lineage: Bacteria
Description: partial 16S ribosomal RNA
Rfam family: Bacterial small subunit ribosomal RNA
Source: RNAcentral